This 963-nucleotide ribosomal RNA is filed under the name Triticum aestivum (bread wheat). Its description in RNAcentral is "partial small subunit ribosomal RNA". The record is from RNAcentral. Lineage: Eukaryota; Viridiplantae; Streptophyta; Magnoliopsida; Poales; Poaceae.
AUGGGGGCCAGCCUCAGCCUCGUGCCGCUCAUCGACUACUUCGCCCGCCGGGAGUUCCUCGCCGCCGGCCUCCGCCCCCACUCGGUCACGCUCCCCUACCCCGACGGCGGGUCUACGGGCACAUGCACCGUGCACUACUGGGCGCCGGCGGGGGAGCCGCGGCUGCCGCCACUGCUGCUCAUCCACGGCUUCGGCCCUCGGGCCACCUGGCAGUGGCGCUGCCAGGUGGGGCCGCUGUCCCGCCAGUUCCACGUCAUCGUCCCGGACCUGCUCGGCUUCGGCGGCAGCUCCUGGGACUCGCCCUCGGCGCCGCCGCCGUCCGAGGCCACGCAGGCCGCGGCGCUCGCGGCGCUGCUGGACUCGGUGGAGGGGCUCAAGGGCAAGCGGGUGGCCGUGGCGGGCACGAGCUACGGCGGGUUCGUGGCGUACUGGCUGGCGCGCGCGGCGGGGCCCCGGAGGGUCGGCCCCGUGGUGAUCGCGAGCUCCGACCUGCUCAAGACGGCGGCCGACGACCGCGCGUUCCUGAAGAGGGCCGGCGAAGGGUGGAGCGGCGCGCACGAGCUGCUCCUGCCGGCCGAACCCGCCGCCAUGAGGAGGCUGAUGGAGAUGGCCGUGCACCGCCCCCCGCCGGCCAUGAUGACGCCGGACUUCGUCCUCCGGGACUUCAUCCAGAAACUGUUCAUGGACAACAGGGAGCAGCUCACCCAUCUUUUCAAGGGGAUCACGGUGGGCACCGACAAGUUCCAAGUCACACCAUUGUCCCAGGAAGUGUUGAUUGUCUGGGGAGAGCACGACCAGUUGUUCCCAGUAGACAAGGCCUACUCAAUUCAGAGGUCAUUGGAUGGGAACGCUAGAGUGGAGAUCAUCAAGAAGACGGGCCAUGCUCCACAGCUCGAGGACCCGGCCCGGUUCAACAACAUCAUGCUGGACUUCUUGACACCAAUGGCAGCUCGGUCUAUUUGA